Molecule: ribosomal RNA, 2837 nt
Filed under: Escherichia coli
Lineage: Bacteria; Pseudomonadati; Pseudomonadota; Gammaproteobacteria; Enterobacterales; Enterobacteriaceae
Description: 23S ribosomal RNA
Rfam family: Bacterial large subunit ribosomal RNA
Source: RNAcentral
GGUUAAGCGACUAAGCGUACACGGUGGAUGCCCUGGCAGUCAGAGGCGAUGAAGGACGUGCUAAUCUGCGAUAAGCGUCGGUAAGGUGAUAUGAACCGUUAUAACCGGCGAUUUCCGAAUGGGGAAACCCAGUGUGAUUCGUCACACUAUCAUUAACUGAAUCCAUAGGUUAAUGAGGCGAACCGGGGGAACUGAAACAUCUAAGUACCCCGAGGAAAAGAAAUCAACCGAGAUUCCCCCAGUAGCGGCGAGCGAACGGGGAGCAGCCCAGAGCCUGAAUCAGUGUGUGUGUUAGUGGAAGCGUCUGGAAAGGCGCGCGAUACAGGGUGACAGCCCCGUACACAAAAAUGCACAUGCUGUGAGCUCGAUGAGUAGGGCGGGACACGUGGUAUCCUGUCUGAAUAUGGGGGGACCAUCCUCCAAGGCUAAAUACUCCUGACUGACCGAUAGUGAACCAGUACCGUGAGGGAAAGGCGAAAAGAACCCCGGCGAGGGGAGUGAAAAAGAACCUGAAACCGUGUACGUACAAGCAGUGGGAGCCUCUUUAUGGGGUGACUGCGUACCUUUUGUAUAAUGGGUCAGCGACUUAUAUUCUGUAGCAAGGUUAACCGAAUAGGGGAGCCGAAGGGAAACCGAGUCUUAACUGGGCGUUAAGUUGCAGGGUAUAGACCCGAAACCCGGUGAUCUAGCCAUGGGCAGGUUGAAGGUUGGGUAACACUAACUGGAGGACCGAACCGACUAAUGUUGAAAAAUUAGCGGAUGACUUGUGGCUGGGGGUGAAAGGCCAAUCAAACCGGGAGAUAGCUGGUUCUCCCCGAAAGCUAUUUAGGUAGCGCCUCGUGAAUUCAUCUCCGGGGGUAGAGCACUGUUUCGGCAAGGGGGUCAUCCCGACUUACCAACCCGAUGCAAACUGCGAAUACCGGAGAAUGUUAUCACGGGAGACACACGGCGGGUGCUAACGUCCGUCGUGAAGAGGGAAACAACCCAGACCGCCAGCUAAGGUCCCAAAGUCAUGGUUAAGUGGGAAACGAUGUGGGAAGGCCCAGACAGCCAGGAUGUUGGCUUAGAAGCAGCCAUCAUUUAAAGAAAGCGUAAUAGCUCACUGGUCGAGUCGGCCUGCGCGGAAGAUGUAACGGGGCUAAACCAUGCACCGAAGCUGCGGCAGCGACACUAUGUGUUGUUGGGUAGGGGAGCGUUCUGUAAGCCUGCGAAGGUGUACUGUGAGGUAUGCUGGAGGUAUCAGAAGUGCGAAUGCUGACAUAAGUAACGAUAAAGCGGGUGAAAAGCCCGCUCGCCGGAAGACCAAGGGUUCCUGUCCAACGUUAAUCGGGGCAGGGUGAGUCGACCCCUAAGGCGAGGCCGAAAGGCGUAGUCGAUGGGAAACAGGUUAAUAUUCCUGUACUUGGUGUUACUGCGAAGGGGGGACGGAGAAGGCUAUGUUGGCCGGGCGACGGUUGUCCCGGUUUAAGCGUGUAGGCUGGUUUUCCAGGCAAAUCCGGAAAAUCAAGGCUGAGGCGUGAUGACGAGGCACUACGGUGCUGAAGCAACAAAUGCCCUGCUUCCAGGAAAAGCCUCUAAGCAUCAGGUAACAUCAAAUCGUACCCCAAACCGACACAGGUGGUCAGGUAGAGAAUACCAAGGCGCUUGAGAGAACUCGGGUGAAGGAACUAGGCAAAAUGGUGCCGUAACUUCGGGAGAAGGCACGCUGAUANNNNNNNNNNNNNNNNNNNNNNNNNNNNNNNNNNNNNNNNNNNNNNNNNNNNNNNNNNNNNNNNNNNNNNNNNNNNNNNNNNNNNNNNNNNNNNGCGAAGCUCUUGAUCGAAGCCCCGGUAAACGGCGGCCGUAACUAUAACGGUCCUAAGGUAGCGAAAUUCCUUGUCGGGUAAGUUCCGACCUGCACGAAUGGCGUAAUGAUGGCCAGGCUGUCUCCACCCGAGACUCAGUGAAAUUGAACUCGCUGUGAAGAUGCAGUGUACCCGCGGCAAGACGGAAAGACCCCGUGAACCUUUACUAUAGCUUGACACUGAACAUUGAGCCUUGAUGUGUAGGAUAGGUGGGAGGCUUUGAAGUGUGGACGCCAGUCUGCAUGGAGCCGACCUUGAAAUACCACCCUUUAAUGUUUGAUGUUCUAACGUUGGCCCCUAAUCGGGGUUGCGGACAGUGUCUGGUGGGUAGUUUGACUGGGGCGGUCUCCUCCUAAAGAGUAACGGAGGAGCACGAAGGUUGGCUAAUCCUGGUCGGACAUCAGGAGGUUAGUGCAAUGGCAUAAGCCAGCUUGACUGCGAGCGUGACGGCGCGAGCAGGUGCGAAAGCAGGUCAUAGUGAUCCGGUGGUUCUGAAUGGAAGGGCCAUCGCUCAACGGAUAAAAGGUACUCCGGGGAUAACAGGCUGAUACCGCCCAAGAGUUCAUAUCGACGGCGGUGUUUGGCACCUCGAUGUCGGCUCAUCACAUCCUGGGGCUGAAGUAGGUCCCAAGGGUAUGGCUGUUCGCCAUUUAAAGUGGUACGCGAGCUGGGUUUAGAACGUCGUGAGACAGUUCGGUCCCUAUCUGCCGUGGGCGCUGGAGAACUGAGGGGGGCUGCUCCUAGUACGAGAGGACCGGAGUGGACGCAUCACUGGUGUUCGGGUUGUCAUGCCAAUGGCACUGCCCGGUAGCUAAAUGCGGAAGAGAUAAGUGCUGAAAGCAUCUAAGCACGAAACUUGCCCCGAGAUGAGUUCUCCCUGACUCCCUGAGAGUCCUGAAGGAACGUUGAAGACGACGACGUUGAUAGGCCGGGUGUGUAAGCGCAGCGAUGCGUUGAGCUAACCGGUACUAAUGAACCGUGAGGCUUAACCUU